UUUCUGCACUCAGAUCUUCUUUUAGGAGCUUCUGAAGCACAGUGGAUGAGAUCCAGCAGAAGACGGGUAUGUGGCACAUGAUGUGGAGGCUUCUUGCUCUUCUGAUGUGUGAGAUGAUUCUGCUGGCUUGAUGCUCAUCACUGAUUCUCUUCCUGAAAUAUUCCUUCUUCUGAGGCUCAUUGAAUCCCUGAAUCUCUGUCAGACGGUUGAUGUAUUUGGAGGGGAUCUGAUUGGCUGCUGCUGGUCUGGAGGUGAUCCAGAUGAGAGCAGAGGGAAGCAGCUCUCCUUUCAUGAGGUUUGACAUCAACACACCCACUGAUGAAGUCUCAGUCACAUCAGAAACUUUCUGAGCGUCUGAAAACAUUAGUGUCAUUCUGCUUUCAUCCAGACCAUCAAAGAUGAACACAACUUUACAUUCCUCAUAAAUCUUUAAAUCCAGAUCUUGAAGUUCAGGAUGAAAGUUCAGCAGAAGAC
Molecule: long non-coding RNA, 474 nt
Organism: Ctenopharyngodon idella (grass carp)
Lineage: Eukaryota; Metazoa; Chordata; Actinopteri; Cypriniformes; Xenocyprididae
Exons: 3
Source: RefSeq, a predicted model, not a curated record